AAGCUUACCAUGGGGGUGUCUGUACGCGUGUGUGUUCGUGCGCUCAGUGGUGGAAGACAGGACAGAAAAUAAACGGAUCAACAUCCAAAGCAACAAGGUCAUUACAGCUUAUGGGGAAACUGACUCCAUGAAGCUCAGGCCUGGCCGCGGUCAGGGUAGAAUCAGGACUGGAACCCAGGCUGUAUGGCUGCGGCCCUGACCCUCACCAUCCAUGUCAGGCAGAGAACACUCAGGUGGGGCAGGAGGUCUUGGCCCCCAUGGUGUGGGGCUUGGUCACAGCUGCUUCCCCAGCCCCAGGCCUGCAUGAAGAAGGCACUCACUAAAUGCUUGCUGUUGAGGUGAGUGAAGCUGAGGGUGGAAUCCGAGAGUGGGAGGAGGAGGAGAAGGAGGAGGAGGCAGCAGAGAGGACACCCACGGGAGAAAAGUCUCCAAACUCUCCCGGGACUUUGCUGUCUCUGAGAGGGAAGGCCUGGACGGGGGGCCGCAUGGAAGUCAAGCUGGAGCUGCACCCCUUGCAGAACAGGUGGGCUCUGUGGUUCUUCAAGAAUGACCGCAGCCGGGCCUGGCAGGACAACCUGCACCUGGUCACCAAGGUGGACACUGUGGAGGACUUCUGGGCGUGAGUGUCUGUCCCCAGUGGGGCUAGAGGUGGGGGGCUCUGAGCUCUGGGCUCCCUCUCUCCGGGUUGAGCCAGCCCUCCCUAGGGCCUUUCAGCCUUGGUGAGGGCUGGGGCUUUGUGGGUUCUGCCCAGGGGGUGUAGGGCACAACCACCCCCCACCCCACCACCUUCUUCGGGCUCAGGGAGAGAGCCUGGGGAGCAGGAGAAGCAGGAAGCUGACCCUGACUCGGCCACUCCAGGGCUUUGUGACCUGGGCAAGUUCCUUCCCCUCUCUGAACCUGUCUCAGCUGCAAAGAGAGGACUCGGCUGCCUCAGUGUCCGGGUGCUCACGGGAGUGGGUCUGAAAAGGGCUGCACAAGCCCUAGGGAGGGUGAGAAGGCCUCGGCUGUAGCUGGAGGGGGGAGCACCAGGGGGUCCAAAACCCUCCCCAGGGAUUGGCUCAGCCUUCACUGGGAAGGCUCUGUGGAAAAGGUGGGUCUUGAGAGUUUGGAUAAACGGGGGUGGAAUCCCAGGUGGCAGGCCAGUGUAAGCAAAGGCUUGGAGGCCAUGGGGUUGGAUGAGGAGCUGGGAGGGCUGAACCCAGUUGGAACCAGGCCCUAAAAAGCCUUGACUUUUGGCAUGGGGUGGGGGGCUCUGUCCAGGCUAUACAGUCACAUCCAGCUGGCCAGCAAGCUCUCCUCUGGCUGUGACUAUGCCCUCUUCAAGGAUGGCAUCGAGCCCAUGUGGGAGGACAGCAGGAAUAAGCGGGGUGGCCGCUGGCUGGUCAGCCUGGCCAAGCAGCAGCGCCACAUUGAGCUGGACCGGCUGUGGCUGGAGACGGUGAGUUGGAGGAGGAGGGUCCUCAGGGGAAGAGACGGGCUGUGUGGGUCUCAUAGUGGCACUGGUCUCAAGGAUGGCAGGCCAGUCCCUAUGUCCUAGCCGGUGAUCUCACAACCCCCUACUUCGGGUCCAGCUGCUGUGUCUGAUCGGGGAGAGCUUUGAGGAACACAGCAGAGAGGUAUGUGGGGCCGUCGUCAACAUCCGCACCAAGGGGGACAAGAUCGCUGUGUGGACGAGGGAGGCGGAAAACCAGGCGGGCGUGCUGCACAUUGGGUGAGGAGGGUCUCUGGCACAGGGUGGGGGCUUGGGUCUCUUCUAGAGGGAAGGUGGGUGGAGGGGGCUUGGCCUGCAUGGGAGACCUCUGAAAGUCUCCAUAGCCUCCCUCCCUUCUGCCUUGCCCACCUGUAUGGAAGGGUCUGGCGUUCAGAUUUCUAACUUUCUCUUACGGCAGUGCAGCUCUCCUUUUGCAUUAAGGGGGUCAUAUUUUGGGUUUCCACAUGGGUAAGACACAACAGGUGUGGCCGUGGCCAGAAUGAGGGUAGGAGUCUGGUGGCCUAAGUUAUCUCUAGGACCCUCUGAUGACUACCUGUGUCUCUUUUCCUCUGUGUCCCCCGCACCUGCAGGCGUGUAUACAAAGAGCGCCUGGGCCUCUCCCCAAAGACCAUCAUUGGGUACCAGGCCCAUGCAGACACAGCCACCAAGAGCAACUCCCUAGCCAAGAACAAGUUUGUGGUGUGAGGGGGGCCUUGGCACCCCUCCUAUGUAAUGGGACAGCCACCACUGAGCCUCAUUACUUUGGGGGAUGGGGCGGGACUGGGGAUCAGACAGCCUAGUUCUUACCUGUCCUCAAGUGAACAGGAAUGCAAACAUUCUUUAACAUGAGUUGGGGCCUGAGCCUUAGGGGCUAGAUGGGGGUAGUGGUGGCAGUCUGAGGACCUAGCUUGUCCUGGGGCCACAGGACAGCAGCAGGGUGGAAAAAACUCCUGGGGGUGGGGUGAGUCAUGGCGGGGAAGGAGGGCUCUAUGGUAGGCGGAGAAGCCCAUAGUCCAGUGUUUACUGUUUCCACCCAGGAAGGAGGUGAGGUGGCCUGAGAGACAGACUCUUCCAUGGGUGGUGGGCUCAAGGGCACAGACACGCUGGAGGGUGAACGCCAUCAUUUGUACAGAGGGAUACGUGGGUUGCUGAGGACUGAGAGAGCCUUGCAAGGCCGCUCCCCUUCUCCCCAGCUGUGACCAUGGCUGUCUGGGCCUUGCCUGCCUCAGGGCCAGACUGAAGUGGAGGUGGAGGGAUGCUGGGCUAGGCCUCACCAAGGUUCUGGUAGAAGUGGUGGAAGUGGAUAAACUUGAUAAUAAAAGCUUAAGCAUCUUUCUGUUCCUGUUUUAAAUAAAUACUUCUGAAC
Molecule: small RNA, 2837 nt
Filed under: Pan troglodytes (chimpanzee)
Lineage: Eukaryota; Metazoa; Chordata; Mammalia; Primates; Hominidae
Description: retained intron
Source: RNAcentral